This is a non-coding RNA of Cinara cedri, 224 nucleotides long. The record is from the annotation of a GenBank genome assembly. NCBI's taxonomy places the organism in Eukaryota, Metazoa, Arthropoda, Insecta, Hemiptera, Aphididae.
AUCAAAUAAAUACAUGUAAGGGCCAUUAAUACGGGUUUGGUAAACGCAAGUGUUCUCACGCAACAACGGACGUCACGGGGAAACCGUGUCCAGGUCCGGACGACGUGCUAUGAGGAGACAAUCGCGGCAGCGUUCACCAUUUUAACUCCCGACCAAGGCGGUGGAUCAGAUAUAAGACGACGGGACAGUUCAGUUCGGCAGAAUAAAUUCAACGAGAUGCCAGC